Molecule: ribosomal RNA, 455 nt
Filed under: uncultured organism
Description: bacterial SSU rRNA
Rfam family: Bacterial small subunit ribosomal RNA
Source: RNAcentral
GCGCACCAGGCGAGAAUUUUUGACAAUGGGGGAAACCCUGAUCGAGCGACGCCGCGUGGAGGAUGAAGGUCUUCGGAUUGUAAACUCCUGUCAUUGGGGAACAAGGUGCAUACGUUAACUGCGUGUGUAUUGAUAGUACCCGAAGAGGAAGGGACGGCUAACUCUGUGCCAGCAGCCGCGGUAAUACAGAGGUCCCAAGCGUUGUUCGGAUUCAUUGGGCGUAAAGGGUGCGUAGGCGGCGCGGUAAGUCGGGUGUGAAAUCUCGGAGCUUAACUCCGAAACUGCAUUCGAUACUGCCGUGCUUGAGGACUGGAGAGGAGACUGGAAUUUACGGUGUAGCGGUGAAAUGCGUAGAUAUCGUAAGGAAGACCAGUGGCGAAGGCGGGUCUCUGGACAGUUCCUGACGCUGAGGCACGAAGGCCAGGGGAGCAAACGGGAUUAGAUACCCGUGUAGU